AUGGCACUUAGACCACACUGCUUAAUGGACUCCUGUGAGAGGAAAGGGGUUGGCUCAUCAAGCAAGAUGGUCUCUCUGAAUCAGAUCUGCUUGGUGCAAGUGCGAAAGAGACCACAGAUGGAAGCUCACAGAUGGAAGCCUGCUGAUCAUACAGCUGUUUCUUUGUUGGUCCCACUGAUCUUCCCGGGAAGGAAAUGGACAGCUGUCACACUCUGGCCCACUAAGCAUUGGUUGCCAACUGGGAAAGUCAUCAGAAAACUUCCUUGAAAUGGUCAUUGGCAAACCAACUCAAGCUAAAAGGAGACAAUCUUUGGACUCAACUCCCCAUGGAAAAGCUCCAUCAUUUAAGUUGGAAAGGUUUACUGAAGUUUCAUAAAUGUUUAUUGAGCAUCCAUCAUAUCUAAGGACCUGUGGACAUAUUCUACGCAAUGUGAAGAUCAUGGGGUGCGUGAUCGGAUGGGGUGCCAUAUCCUCACCUCUCUCCCACUAUGAUUCCCCUUGAACAGGAGGGCUGUAUGGCAAGUGGCAGACAGCCAACCUGAAUUAACUUAAGCAAGAAAAAAAUGGAAAGAAGGGAGAGGCAAGUCUUGGGAUUUUAUUGGCAUAUCCAUCCAAACUUUGGAAAGAGCAAGGAUGAAAUAUGCAGAACAGAAGUCUAGAAGCAGUGACUCAAACACCAUCUGGAAACUCUGUGUGCAUCUCUUGUCUCUGCUUCUGUUUUUGUUACCCUCUCUCUGGGGCUCUCUCCCCACCUCCAUCCCUCCCUCCCUCCGCCGCUCUCUCUCCUAGCUGCUGUAUUGAGAUAUCAGCCACGGGGCAUAAAAAUGACCCAUUGAAAGUGCACAAUCCAACAACUCUUAGUGUGUUCACAGAGAUGUGCAUCCACCUUCAUAAUGCAUUUUAGAAUAUUUUUAUUUUCUCAAAGAGAAACCUUGCACCUCUUAGCCAUCACCUUCCAUCACCCUCCUCCCAACCUCCCCAUCACCCCCACCACUAGGAAACCACCAAUCUCCCUUCUCUCUCAAUAGAAA
RNAcentral lists this long non-coding RNA (1031 nucleotides) under Canis lupus familiaris (dog). Its description in RNAcentral is "lncRNA (ENSCAFG00030003084.1)". Lineage: Eukaryota; Metazoa; Chordata; Mammalia; Carnivora; Canidae. The record is from RNAcentral.